AGUUUUCAAAAAUUUUAAAAAUUAAGUUCAAAAUUCGAUCCGUAAUACAACCUAAACCAAAAAUUCGAAAAUUUUGAAUUUCCAUUUUUCCGAACUAUGCCCACCUCGAUUAAGAAACUUUGUGGAAUUAAAUAGAAGAAACUAGGGAAGCUUUUGUAACUAAUCCAACUCCAAAAAGAAAAAAGAACAAUUUAAAUAUGUGGGGCUCUGAACAUUCAAGAUUUCCAACUUAAAUAAAAUUUCCAUAGAUGGCUCAAUCGUCCGGAUUCAAUUAUUUAAUCCUUUUCAAUUAGUUUAUGGAAGUGAUUCAGUUUCUAUUACUGCAAAGAUGUUUUCCUGAGCAGCUUAUGAAUUUUUCUUAUAAAGAUGGUGUCCAGGACGCAUCUACUACUUGGACUAGUCCACUGAAAUACCUGCUACCCACCAGUACACACCUAGUUAUUUAUUAUAACUUUUUCUUUUUUCCUUUUUCUAAUUUGGGUGUGGUUCAUGGGUUUAUGUUGAAUCUAAAUUAUGUCCACUUUUUUAAAUUAACUUUUAUUGUCUUUGUAGUCCGUGGAAGUAGUUAAAGAUGCUGGAUACGAGAAGAUGAACUGUGGUUUAGGACGCCAUGACCCUAAGGUUAGUCUUGACGUUCUCAUACCUUAUAUAUUUAGCUUGUUUUCUUGCUCUUAGAGUUGUUAUUUCAUUUAUGAAGUGAAUAAAUAGGAUUACAGUCAACAAAAACGAGGACAACUACUUGUAACUGUUCCAAAUUUUUCUGUUUGUUACUAGUUUUCUUUUUGUUAUCAGUUACUUGAGCUCAAUUUGAAGUGCAUGAGAUCACAAUGUGAAAUUUGCUUCUGCAUUCUGAGUAUUAAAAUUUGCUUCAUUGUUUGUGCAAUUAUAUUUCAUUAAUAGAUUCAGUGAAUCAGAAAAAUGGAAGUUCAUUUCAAAUAUGUUUGAUAAAGAUUAGAACUAUUUGACAACAUUAACCUCUGUAUUACAUUUCUCACUGAACAGUAAACAUCCAUCUUUUCUUUGAUUGUUUGAUUAUUAUCAAUUUCUUAAUCCCUGAUCAAUCCAAUAACCUAAGAGAUUUCUCUUUUAGUUUUUUAAUUGUAUUCUUAGAUAUUCCCAUUAUUCAACCUAUUGGAUUUGGAGCCUUCAUUUUAAUGAUCAAGCUGGUGCUAUUCAAUGUAAAAAACGAUUUCCCAAGCUAAUCUGGAUGAUUUUAGCUUGUGUCUACAUUGGUCAAUUUAACUAAAAAAGAGACCCUCCUUUAAAUUUAAAAGAAGAGACCUUCCUUUAAAUCUUAUUUAGAGCUUGGUAUAAGGCCCUUCAGAGUACUCAAUGUCAAUGCUAUGCGCAGAUGCCAUCUAAGAGAAGUAUUUUGGUUAUUUUACACCUACCGAGCUGAAAGAGAAGUGUUGCAGUAAAAGAUAUAUAGUUAACUUUGUAUUAAGGAAAAUAAUGAAAAGGGUCUCUUUUACUCAUCAAGCAGAAAAAUAUCAUAAUGAUACAAACUAUUGAAACAGAAAAAUGGAGAAUACAUCACUGAUGUUCAGCUAAAAACAUUAAAAACUCGUCUACUUUAUUUAUUUGUUUCAGAGCAUGCUAUCAGCUCGAGCUGGCAAUCUUCGGAAGAAAUUGAUUGGUGGUGAAGGCAUUUUGCUCCUGAAUCUUGGGUGCCUUAGGUAAACGAGACUUGCAACUAGAGCUAUGAUUUUGAAAGGUGUCACAUACAGUAUCACUGCUGU
Molecule: long non-coding RNA, 1739 nt
Filed under: Nicotiana tabacum (common tobacco)
Lineage: Eukaryota; Viridiplantae; Streptophyta; Magnoliopsida; Solanales; Solanaceae
Description: long non-coding RNA (NTAB_LNC005731)
Source: RNAcentral